This 253-nucleotide ribosomal RNA is filed under the name uncultured bacterium. RNAcentral describes it as "partial 16S ribosomal RNA". It matches the Rfam family "Bacterial small subunit ribosomal RNA", at positions 524 to 776 of the family's 1533-position model. The record is from RNAcentral.
UACGAAGGGGGCUAGCGUUGCUCGGAAUCACUGGGCGUAAAGCGCACGUAGGCGGCUUCUUAAGUCAGGGGUGAAAUCCUGGAGCUCAACUCCAGAACUGCCUUUGAUACUGAGGAGCUCGAGUCCGGAAGAGGUGAGUGGAACUGCGAGUGUAGAGGUGAAAUUCGUAGAUAUUCGCAAGAACACCAGUGGCGAAGGCGGCUCACUGGCCCGGUACUGACGCCGAGGCACGAAAGCGUGGGGAGCAAACAGG